RNAcentral lists this ribosomal RNA (467 nucleotides) under uncultured bacterium. Its description in RNAcentral is "partial 16S ribosomal RNA". It matches the Rfam family "Bacterial small subunit ribosomal RNA", at positions 28 to 507 of the family's 1533-position model. The record is from RNAcentral.
GAUGAACGCUGGCGGCGCGCCUAACACAUGCAAGUCGAACGAUUAAAGCACCUUCGGGUGUGUAUAAAGUGGCGAACGGCUGAGUAACACGUGGGCAACCUGCCCCUCUCAUUGGGAUAGCCACGGGAAACCGUGGAUAAUACCGAAUACUUCGGGACUUCCGCAUGGAAGACUCGAGAAAGCUCCGGCGGAGGGGGAUGGGCCCGCGGCCUGUUAGCUUGUUGGUGGGGUAAUGGCCUACCAAGGCAAUGAUGGGUAGCUGGGUUGAGAGACCGACCAGCGGCAUUGGGACUGAGGCACGGCGCAGAAUCCAACGGGAGGCAGCAGUGGGGAAUCUUGAGGAGUGGGCGAAAGCCUGAUGCAGCGACGCCGCGUGCGGGAUGAAGGCCUACGGGUUGUAAACCACUUUCAGCAGAGACGAGGCGGAAGUGACGGUACCUACAGAAGAAGCCCCGGCUAACUACGUG